RNAcentral lists this transfer RNA (72 nucleotides) under Kumanoa mahlacensis. RNAcentral describes it as "tRNA-Ala". It matches the Rfam family "tRNA". Rfam says of the family: Transfer RNA (tRNA) molecules are approximately 80 nucleotides in length. Their secondary structure includes four short double-helical elements and three loops (D, anti-codon, and T loops). Lineage: Eukaryota; Rhodophyta; Florideophyceae; Batrachospermales; Batrachospermaceae. The record is from RNAcentral.
GGGAGUAUAAUUUUAAUGGUAAAAUAUUUGUUUUGCGUACAAAAGUUAUAGGUUCGAGUCCUAUUACUUCCA